Molecule: long non-coding RNA, 956 nt
Organism: Corvus hawaiiensis (hawaiian crow)
Lineage: Eukaryota; Metazoa; Chordata; Aves; Passeriformes; Corvidae
Exons: 2
Source: RefSeq, a predicted model, not a curated record
UCGGCGCUGAGGGUGCUCGGCCCGAGCCGGCGCUCCCGGCCCGCAAAUCGUGGAAUAGCGGGGAAAGAGACGCCCGGGAUCAUCCAUCUCCGGCUCCUGGUCCUGCACAGACAACAGUGUCACCCUGUGCGUCCCUCAGAGCGUUGUCCGAACGCUCCUGGAGCUCUGGCAGCCUUGGAGCCGUGGCCAUUCCAUGGUGAGCCUGGUCAGUGCCAGACCACCCUCUGCUGGAAGAAACUUUCCCUAAUUUCCAACCUAAACGUGCUCUGACACAGCUGCAGCCGUUCCCUGGGUCCUGUCCCUGGUCACAGCGAGCAGAGCUCCACAGGAACGUGCCGGCACAGCCCGGAAUUCCCUGAACCCCCGUAGGGGAUGUCCCGGCUGGCGCGAUGGAGGUGACGGCUGCGGGCUAGGAAAAAUAGGAAAUUGCGGCCCUGGCAGCGAAUCCAAAGUGUGCGGAAAACCCUGGAUGUCCGGGAUGGAGCCAGGCCGGAGCAUCACGUCCAUGGCUGAGUCUGUCACUGGCGGGGCUUCCCUGUGCCGCUGGAGGUGCCCAGCGGGCGUGGGUAUCCUGGGAAGGCUCUCUUCCCAAAAUAGUACCCCAUGGGGAUUCCUGGCAGGUAUCCCUGGUUCUCAUCCAUACCAAUCCAAGACCUGUUGCUUCUCAGUUAAAGAAAGAACAACAACAAAAAACAAAAAAUCUCCCUCGCCCCGAGGUUAUAAAUAAAAUAUUAACAUCUCUCCUCGUGCUUUUCCUUAUUCUCUUCCCUGUGAACAAGCACUGUUGUUGAUCUUGGAAAAUGGGAAUGCCAUUGUACAACAGGCAUUGUGGACACAAGGUGGCAGGAUUAAAAAGCACAUUUUAGAUACGGUUACAACCCAUAAAUGUAGUGAAAUGUAGUGAAAACUUGUUUCGUGGUGCUCAUGUGGAGCAUGAAUAAAGUGUUGGAAAUAAC